This 465-nucleotide ribosomal RNA is filed under the name Vreelandella stevensii. Its description in RNAcentral is "partial 16S ribosomal RNA". It matches the Rfam family "Bacterial small subunit ribosomal RNA", at positions 338 to 795 of the family's 1533-position model. Lineage: Bacteria; Pseudomonadati; Pseudomonadota; Gammaproteobacteria; Oceanospirillales; Halomonadaceae. The record is from RNAcentral.
CCUACGAGAGGCUGCAGUGGGGAAUAUUGGACAAUGGGGGGAACCCUGAUCCAGCCAUGCCGCGUGUGUGAAGAAGGCCCUCGGGUUGUAAAGCACUUUCAGUGAGGAAGAACGCCUGGUGGUUAAUACCCAUCAGGAAAGACAUCACUCACAGAAGAAGCACCGGCUAACUCCGUGCCAGCAGCCGCGGUAAUACGGAGGGUGCGAGCGUUAAUCGGAAUUACUGGGCGUAAAGCGCGCGUAGGUGGCUUGAUAAGCCGGUUGUGAAAGCCCCGGGCUCAACCUGGGAACGGCAUCCGGAACUGUCAAGCUAGAGUGCAGGAGAGGAAGGUAGAAUUCCCGGUGUAGCGGUGAAAUGCGUAGAGAUCUGGAGGAAUACCAGUGGCGAAGGCGGCCUUCUGGACUGACACUGACACUGAGGUGCGAAAGCGUGGGUAGCAAACAGGAUUAGAUACCCCGGUAGUC